This 585-nucleotide ribosomal RNA is filed under the name uncultured bacterium. Its description in RNAcentral is "partial 16S ribosomal RNA". It matches the Rfam family "Bacterial small subunit ribosomal RNA", at positions 355 to 1375 of the family's 1533-position model. The record is from RNAcentral.
UGGGGAAUUUUGGACAAUGGGCGAAAGCCUGAUCCAGCAAUGCCGCGUGUGUGAAGAAGGCCUUCGGGUUGUAAAGCACUUUUGUCCGGAAAGAAAUCCUUGGCUCUAAUACAGUCGGGGGAUGACGGUACCGGAAGAAUAAGCACCGGCUAACUACGUGCCAGCAGCCGCGGUAAUACGUAGGGUGCAAGCGUUAAUCGGAAUUACUGGGCGUAAAGCGUGCGCAGGCGGUUUGCUAAGACCGAUGUGAAAUCCCCGGGCUCAACCUGGGAACUGCAUUGGUGACUGGCAGGCUAGAGUAUGGCAGAGGGGGGUAGAAUUCCACGUGUAGCAGUGAAAUGCGUAGAGAUGUGAGGAAUACCGAUGGCGAAGGCAGCCCCCUGGGCCAAUACUGACGCUCAUGCACGAAAGCGUGGGGAGCAAACAGGAUUAGAUACCCUGGUAGUCCCACGCCCUAAACGAUGUCAACUAGUUGUUGGGGAUUCAUUUCCUUAGUAACGUAGCUAACGCGUGAAGUUGACCGCCUGGGGAGUACGGUCGCAAGAUUAAAACUCAAAUGAAUUGACGGGGUCAUAGCUGUUUCCU